UGACCGAACAAAUUCACGAAGACGUUGUAACUUCAUUCUACGCCUCCAUUGCUGCCAUGACCAUGCAAGAGGAUACACAAGGAUACAAAGAAUGCUAUGCACUGCUCCUUCCCACCAUUGGUAGGCAGCAAUAGUAUUAAUUUCAUCCACAAAGGUGUUGAAGGCACCCUCAUAUACGACUUCUUUUAUUUGCUGGGGAGGAGUAUGAGACAGAUGCCAAGGUUCACUGAAUGUAUUCGGACCCAAAAAGUACAAUCUAUAGACAUGGCUUUGUGAUUCCUCAACCCUGUUUGUUUCCAAAACCUCAUUGAGUGACUCCAGAAACGGAAAUGAGUGAUCAAUUUGAGAACCCUGUUGUGUGGGAGCAGGACCAGGUGACUCGUCGACACCAACAUACUUCAUCCGAGCUACACUAAGAACUAAGGCUAAUAAAAUGAGAAAACCUAAAAGGAGAAAAACAAACAGCCAAGGCCCUCCAAAUGUGUAGAUUAGUUCUUCAAGAGCUGUAUAACAAUGAGGCAUAUGGUAUCUCUCUGAAACACAUCGGUAAGGACAAGGACGUUCCGUAACACCACCUCGAACAGAAAUAUAAACAGCUCGAUGUGGGAGUUCAUCAUUUGGGCAUGAAAUACAAAGGUUUCUAUCAGAUCCCGUGACAUUCUUGAAAGUACCAAGUGGGCAUUCCGCACAGAAAAUCCCAUAAAGCCCUCUUGGACAAGGCUUUCCAGACAAAGUUCCACUUCCACCAAUACCACCUUGCUCUCCACCUGAUCCACCCCUUGUAUAGAUGCUUCCAUUCACAGUCGCUAUAGGUUGAUACACAUCACCAGUAGGAAUUUCUGACCAGUGAAA
Molecule: unclassified non-coding RNA, 852 nt
Filed under: Hevea brasiliensis (rubber tree)
Lineage: Eukaryota; Viridiplantae; Streptophyta; Magnoliopsida; Malpighiales; Euphorbiaceae
Source: RNAcentral